This is a long non-coding RNA of Photinus pyralis (common eastern firefly), 421 nucleotides long. RefSeq lists it as uncharacterized. The transcript has 6 exons. NCBI's taxonomy places the organism in Eukaryota, Metazoa, Arthropoda, Insecta, Coleoptera, Lampyridae. The record is from RefSeq and is a predicted model, not a curated record.
UUUUCAGAUAGAAAUCGGAUGGUUUCCCCGACGAUUUUCUAACGCGCUAUCCCGUAACUGUGGCCAGGGUCUGGAACGAGUGUGUGACGACCUUUACUACUCUACAUGACGCAGUAAUUAUUAUUGAAAGAAAAGGCAAAUACCGCAUCUGGUGUGACUGCUACUCUCCUAAUCUGAAAAGAUGAAUUUGCGACAUUUCGAAACGUGUGGAUGAUUUGCAAUGUGUGGGCGCAGACAGAGACGAAUAUGGCCAGAAAUUAGCAGUCCACUGCAAAAAGGGAACAUUACGGUAGACGACUGAGGACCGAAAAGGGGCAGUAGUUAAAGGUGGGUGGAUAACUGCUAUAUCUAUAUUGUCGCACUUUGGGUGAGUUCAAAUUGUAUCUCCAAAAGAAUCAUUUACCGAUUUAAACCAUGUCAU